Molecule: long non-coding RNA, 983 nt
Filed under: Calidris pugnax (ruff)
Lineage: Eukaryota; Metazoa; Chordata; Aves; Charadriiformes; Scolopacidae
Description: lncRNA (ENSCPUG00000001198.1)
Source: RNAcentral
AAAUGAAGAAGGAACAAACAUAUGCACUAACUGUCGUGGAAUAAAGGAAAGAAUGCAGCAAGGAGCUAAGCAAAAAUCUCUGCGAAUUGGAUGGAGGGCAAGAUUCAAGUUCUACUGAUAAUUAGAAACUAUCAAGGUUGCCUGGGUGCUGGUGCUGGGGCAUGGGAACUGCCUCCGCGCGUGCCAGCAUCCUCAGCCCUUCCUCGGGUGGCGUUUGGAGCCUGCCCUGCAGCAGCUUUCCCUGACACCUGGCUGCCAGCACUCAGGGCUCUGGGGCAGCCCUCAAGGGACCUGCAGAGGAUUGGGCAGAUUACAGGUGAUCGCAUUUACCAGGGCAAAAAAAAGGAAGCCAUCACUUGUUCAGAAGACUGUGUUCAAGCCAGGCAUGAAGAACUGAACAAGGCUGGGAUAUAUGGGGAAGGAGAGGCCAGGAUUGUUACACGUAGACCGCAAAGCAGGUGUGUCUGGGAAGUUCUGGUCUGUAACACUGCAUUAAAUACAAUUUGCUGUCUAAAUGCUAAAAAAUAACACACUUGCUCAUGACUUCUUAAUAUAUAAAGCUAUUUUUCAUUCAUAAAAGCAAGGCGACAUAUAACAUUUUUAUAUAUUCAUGCUGGAUUUUAUGAUUGCAAAACCCCCACCCUCAAUACAAGCAACCCCCACCACGGACUUCACCAGAUUUCUACUACUGAGUAGUAUGCUUUAUAAUUUUGUGUGAAAAAUUGUUUUCAUGUAUUUAAAUGUGUCUGGCUAGGUACUUAUUUUAUUUUCCUGUUUAAUUUAUUCUCAAGAUUCUCUGGCCUUCAGUCAAUGCACUGGCUGAUUAAAUUAUUAUCCCAAUAAUGAGAUUUGACACAAUCUAUGCCAGUUACCUAUGUGACCUGCUAAGCAGGUUGAUUGGCAACCCUGAAUAAUUCUCAGCCACCUUAUCUUGCUGACUGAGGGUUGACAAUAAAUGAAACAUAAAGAUUCUGAAAAAGACA